This 678-nucleotide ribosomal RNA is filed under the name Amycolatopsis equina. RNAcentral's name for it is "bacterial SSU rRNA". It matches the Rfam family "Bacterial small subunit ribosomal RNA", at positions 110 to 802 of the family's 1533-position model. The record is from RNAcentral. Lineage: Bacteria; Bacillati; Actinomycetota; Actinomycetes; Pseudonocardiales; Pseudonocardiaceae.
GUAACACGUGGGUAAUCUGCCCUGUACUCUGGGAUAAGCCUGGGAAACUGGGUCUAAUACCGGAUAUGACUAUUGAGGGCAUCCUGGGUGGUGGAAAGUUCCGGCGGUACAGGAUGAACCCGCGGCCUAUCAGGUUGUUGGUGGGGUAAUGGCCUACCAAGGCGACGACGGGUAGCCGGCCUGAGAGGGUGACCGGCCACACUGGCACUGAGACACGGCCCAGACUCCUACGGGAGGCAGCAGUGGGGAAUAUUGCACAAUGGGCGCAAGCCUGAUGCAGCGACGCCGCGUGAGGGAUGACGGCCUUCGGCUUGUAAACCUCUUUCGCCAGGGACGAAGCGCAAGUGACGCUACCAGGAUAAGAAGCACCGGCUAACUACGUGCCAGCAGCCGCGGUAAUACGUAGGGUGCGAGCGUUGUCCGGAAUUAUUCGGCGUAUAGAGGUCGUAGGCGGUUUGUCGCGUCGGCCGUGAAAUCUCCACGCUUAACGUGGAGCGUGCGGUCGAUACGGGCAGACAUGAGUUCGGCAGGGGAGACUGGAAUUCCUGGUGUAGCGGUGAAAUGCGCAGAUAUCAGGAGGAACACCGGUGGCGAAGGCGGGUCUCUGGGCCGAUACUGACGCUGAGGAGCGAAAGCGUGGGGAGCGAACAGGAUUAGAUACCCUGGUAGUCCACGCUG